UACGGAGGAUCCGAGCGUUAUCCGGAUUUAUUGGGUUUAAAGGGUGCGUAGGCGGUUCAAUAAGUCAGUGGUGAAAGUUUUCGGCUUAACCGGAAAAUUGCCGUUGAUACUGUUGGGCUUGAAUUUGGUUGCUGUGAGUGGAAUGUGUGGUGUAGCGGUGAAAUGCUUAGAUAUCACACAGAAUAUCGAUUGCGAAGGCAUCUCACAAAGCCAAUAUUGACGCUGAUGCACGAAAGUGUGGGGAUCAAACAGGAUUAGAUACCCUGGUAGUCCACACUGUAAACGAUGAUAACUCGCUGUCGGCGAUAGAUAGUCGGUGGCCAAGCGAAAGCGAUAAGUUAUCCACCUGGGGAGUACGACCGCAAGGUUGAA
This 372-nucleotide ribosomal RNA is filed under the name uncultured bacterium. Its description in RNAcentral is "bacterial SSU rRNA". It matches the Rfam family "Bacterial small subunit ribosomal RNA", at positions 524 to 898 of the family's 1533-position model. The record is from RNAcentral.